UAAAGGUACUUUAUAUAUAGCUUAGUUUAUAUUUAUAGGGCAUAAUGCCCUACAACGUAGCGGUGUCUGAUGAUUGAAAACUCUCAUAAACUAGUUUUUGGGUUUUCAAUCAUGUGACACUAUAAUCGCUAUCCCAUAAUUUAUUUAGGGAAUGGGACUCUUCACCGAGGUUGUAAAAUGAGACAAACAAUUUUAGCUGUAU
This 202-nucleotide non-coding RNA is filed under the name Acinetobacter sp. TGL-Y2. RNAcentral describes it as "Acinetobacter sRNA 11". It matches the Rfam family "Acinetobacter sRNA 11". Rfam says of the family: AbsR25 sRNA could play a role in the efflux pump regulation and drug resistance. Lineage: Bacteria; Pseudomonadati; Pseudomonadota; Gammaproteobacteria; Moraxellales; Moraxellaceae. The record is from Rfam by way of RNAcentral.